This 466-nucleotide ribosomal RNA is filed under the name uncultured bacterium. Its description in RNAcentral is "partial 16S ribosomal RNA". It matches the Rfam family "Bacterial small subunit ribosomal RNA", at positions 28 to 507 of the family's 1533-position model. The record is from RNAcentral.
GACGAACGCUGGCGGCGCGCCUAACACAUGCAAGUCGAACGAGCGAGAGAGAGCUUGCUUUCUCAAGCGAGUGGCGAACGGGUGAGUAACGCGUGAGGAACCUGCCUCAAAGAGGGGGACAACAGUUGGAAACGACUGCUAAUACCGCAUAAGCCCACGACCCGGCAUCGGGUAGAGGGAAAAGGAGCAAUCCGCUUUGAGAUGGCCUCGCGUCCGAUUAGCUAGUUGGUGAGGUAACGGCCCACCAAGGCGACGAUCGGUAGCCGGACUGAGAGGUUGAACGGCCACAUUGGGACUGAGACACGGCCCAGACUCCUACGGGAAGCAGCAGUGGGGAAUAUUGCACAAUGGGGGAAACCCUGAUGCAGCGACGCCGCGUGGAGGAAGAGGGUCUUCGGAUUGUAAACUCCUGUUGUUGAGGAAGAUAAUGACGGUACUCAACAAGGAAGUGACGGCUAACUACGUG